RNAcentral lists this ribosomal RNA (524 nucleotides) under uncultured bacterium. RNAcentral describes it as "partial 16S ribosomal RNA". It matches the Rfam family "Bacterial small subunit ribosomal RNA", at positions 28 to 523 of the family's 1533-position model. The record is from RNAcentral.
GACGAACGCUGGCGGCGUGCCUAAUACAUGCAAGUCGAGCGCAGGAAAUCGACGGAACCCUUCGGGGGGAAGUCGACGGAAUGAGCGGCGGACGGGUGAGUAACACGUAAAGAACCUGCCCUCAGGUCUGGGAUAACCACGAGAAAUCGGGGCUAAUACCGGAUGGGUCAUCGGACCGCAUGGUCCGAGGAUGAAAGGCGCUUCGGCGUCGCCUGGGGAUGGCUUUGCGGUGCAUUAGCUAGUUGGUGGGGUAAUGGCCGACCAAGGCGACGAUGGAUAGCCGACCGGGGAGGGUGAUCGGCCACACUGGGACUGUGACACGGCCCAGACGCCUACGGGAGGCAGCAGUAGGGAAUCUUCCUCAAUGGACGAAAGUCUGAUAGAGCAACGCCGCGUGAACGAUGAAGGCCUUCGGGUCGUAAAGUUCUGUUGUAAGGGAAGAACAAGUGCCGCAGGCAAUGGCGGCACCUUGACGGUACCUUGCGAGAAAGCCACGGCUAACUACGUGCCAGCAGCCGCAGUAA